CCCUUAGAUGUUCUGGGCUGCACGCGCGCUACACUGAUGCGCUCAACGAGUUUACGACCUUGCCCGGAAGGGUUGGGUAAUCUUUUUAAAACGCAUCGUGAUGGGGAUAGAUUAUUGCAAUUAUUAAUCUUUAACGAGGAAUUCCUAGUAAGCGCGAGUCAUCAGCUCGUGCUGAUUACGUCCCUGCCCUUUGUACACACCGCCCGUCGCUCCUACCGAUUGAGUAAUCCGGUGAAUAAUUCGGACUGCAGCAGUGUUCAGUUCCUGAACGUUGCAGCGGAAAGUUUAGUGAACCUUAUCACUUAGAGGAAGGAGAAGUCGUAACA
RNAcentral lists this ribosomal RNA (326 nucleotides) under uncultured eukaryote. RNAcentral's name for it is "partial 18S ribosomal RNA". It matches the Rfam family "Eukaryotic small subunit ribosomal RNA", at positions 1470 to 1796 of the family's 1831-position model. The record is from RNAcentral.